RNA transcript from Odobenus rosmarus divergens (Pacific walrus), 1409 nucleotides. It is a transcript of the gene named interstitial collagenase-like, with no coding region annotated. NCBI's taxonomy places the organism in Eukaryota, Metazoa, Chordata, Mammalia, Carnivora, Odobenidae. The transcript has 10 exons. The record is from RefSeq and is a predicted model, not a curated record.
AUGCCCAGCCUUCCUGUUCUGCUAGUGCUGGUCUGGGGCGUGGGGUCCCAUGGCUUCCCUGCAGCGACCGCAGGAACGCGAGAGCAGGACGUGGAGGUGGUCCAGAACUACCUGCAGAAGUACUACAACCUGAGGAUUGGAACCAACAAAUCUGGAAGGCAGAGGAAUGACGCUUUAGUGACUGAGAAGCUGAAGGAAAUGCAGGAAUUCUCUGGGCUGAAGGUGACCGGGAAGAUAGAUGCUGACACCCUGAAUCUGAUGAAGCAGCCCAGAUGUGGGGUGCCCGACGUGGCUCAGUACGCUCUGGCUGAUAGGACCCUCCGAUGGGAGCACACACACCUGACCUACAGGAUUGAAAAUUACACACCAGAUUUGCCAAGAGCAGAUGUGGACAGUGCCAUUGAGCAAGCCUUUCAACUCUGGAGUAAUGUCUCACCCCUGACCUUCACCAAGGUCUUUGAGGAACAAGCAGACAUAAUGAUAUCCUUUGUCUGGAAAGAUCACGGCGACAACUCCCCCUUCGGUGGACCUGGAAACAUUCUUGCUCAUGCCUUCCUACCAGGAAGAGAUAUUGGAGGAGAUAUUCAUUUUGAUGAAGAAAAAACGUGGACCAAUAAUUUCAGAAAUUUCAACUUGUUCCACGUCGCAGCACAUGAAGUGGGCCAUUCCCUUGGACUGUUGCAUGAUAACGACAUUGGUUCCUUGAUGUUCCCCAACUAUAACUACUAUGGGGAUGUCCUGCUGUCUCAGAGGGACAUCGAUGCCAUCCAGGCCCUCUACGGACCUUCCAAAAAUCCCAUCCAGCCAAGAGAACCACAAGUACCACGAGCUGUGAUAGCAAGUUAACAUUUGAUGCUAUCACCAAAGUUCGUGGAGAAUUAUUCUUCUUUAAAAACAGGUUCUUCCUACACACGAGUCCCUCCUACAAAACAGUGGAUCUCAAUGUCAUUGCUGAGCUCUGGCCAUCGCUGUCCAGGGGAGUUGACGCUGCUUACGGCAUUGUUAACAGAGAUGAAGUCUUCUUUUUUAAAGGUAGUAAAUACUGGGCCUUUAAUGGGGAUCAGAUGCUGCGAGGCUACCCCAAGAACAUCUAUCACUCCUUGGGCUUCCCACAGAGGGUGAAGAAAAUCGAUGCUGCUGUUCACGAGGAUGAAACUGGGAAGACGUACUUCUUUGUUGCCAACGAGUAUUGGAGGGAUGAUGAAAAUACACGGUCUAUGGAUACAGGUUUUCCCAAAGAGAUAGCUCAUGGGUUUCCUGGAAUUGGCAAAAAAGCUGAUGCUGUCUUCCAAGAGGGAGGAUUUUUCUAUUUCUUUCAUGGAAAAAGGCAGUUCAAAUUUGAUCCUAAAACGAAGCGAAUUUUGACUCUCCUGAAAACGAACAGCUGGUUCAACUGCAAAAAUAAAUGA